RNAcentral lists this long non-coding RNA (2562 nucleotides) under Musa acuminata (dwarf banana). RNAcentral describes it as "long non-coding RNA (MACU_LNC003618)". Lineage: Eukaryota; Viridiplantae; Streptophyta; Magnoliopsida; Zingiberales; Musaceae. The record is from RNAcentral.
CGGUCUUUGCCGUCGUCAUCUCAUCGACUCCAACAUCCCGAACAUCAUCCACCGAUGGCUUCCCAAGGCGAUUUCUAACAACCCAACCGCAGCCGAGUCCCUCGCCUCUCCCCGAUCCGUCACCUACUGGUUUGUGCCGACCCCCAAAUCAUUGGAUUCGGGGACUUCUGGAUAGAAAUCGUGAGUUUUACUGAUAAAGCUGUCGCCUUUGUGUUGCUUUGAUACAGCUGUGGCUCUUGUGGGUACGCCCUGAAUCGGAGCUUCACCGAUCGGGACGCAGUCGUGGGGAUUGUUGAGGAGGAGGACCAAAUUAUUCUUCCGGAAAUGCCGGAACUUCGUUGGCGUCGGAUAAGAAGACGGUACCGCCUCAUCGGCUGGGUCUGAUGGCUCCGACUCUGUCUCCGGAAACGAGAGGUUGCGUGGAAGAAAUACGCUAUCAAGAUUAGGGCUCUGCAGCCGGCAUCUUCAUCUGACGAGUCAGGUAUUCCUCUCUCUUCCUGAUGUCCAUGGACAAGUCGACGUCACAUAUGCUUCUUGAUGCUAGAAUAUCAGAUGCACUUGUAAAGGAUGUUUGGACCAGGAAAGUUGUCUUUGAUCUGUUUGUAGUUUUGUCUCAGAGUCUUAAAUACACAGAAAUUUGUUUGCUGUUGAGUAAUGGUGGGUUUAGAUACAUUUUCAUUAUGUGAAUUAAGUUGGUUAUGAAUGAAAAUUCUUGGUGUAAUCAGAACACUUGCUCGUUUCUCUAUUUGUGAGUGAUUUCUCCUGUGUAGUAUUCAUCUUAGAGUUUGCAUCUUGUGGGAACAUAGUCUUGACUCCCUGAGCCAUGAUCUUGGUAACAUUUUGACAUGUGAGCUUUGUGAUAUUCUAAAUCCGAUGAAACUGGAUAUCAUUUUGUUUGUCAAAACAGAGCUUGAGGUUAGUAGUUACAUUGUUAGAUCAAGAUGAGGUGGAGGGUUUCAUUUGUUAGGUUCAUCUUGCAUGAGUUUUCUUUGGAAAUAAUCUAAUGAUUACGAGGGGAAUUGGUGGGAGAAAGAAGCAUCCCAACUUUAGGCCAUUGGUUUGUGAUGUUUCACCAGCUAACUAGGUAAGUUAUGGUGUUUUCUUAUCUUGGUAACAUUCGCAACUUUGCAUUUACUUUCUUUGGCCAAUGUCUCUUUGCUUAUCAAACAAGAUCUCGGUGUUUGGAGAUGAUGAAUUAAGUGGUUGGAUGAAGGUUGCACUUUGUAGCUAGGAGAAAGAAGACUAAGGACUAUACCAAUUCCAUUGUAUCUAAUUUUUGUUUUCCUUAUUUCCACUUGCAGAAUCAUGAGAAUUGUUUUAAUGGUUUCUAACUCUUGUUACCUACAUCAAAGUUAAAGAUCUAGUUACAAUUUCGUAGCUACAUUAUUGACUAGGUUAAUGAAAAGGUCUUGAAGAUUCUUGAUUAUAUACCAGAAAUUCAUUUUCUACAGCUAAAAUUUUGUCGAUAUGAAAUUUUAGUAGAAAUAUGUUCUUCAAAACCUGAUCUUUGUUUAACAGUUCUAGGCAUACAUUGUUGAAUUUCUUAGGUUGAGCAGAUUCAUAUAUACCUAUAGUUUUAAGUCAAAUAUAAUAAAAUGAAUCACAAGAUUACAAUCCACAUUAAAGAUAUUUGGUAAAAUAAAAAUUCAAAUCCAUGACAAAGAUAAAGCAAAAGAAAAGAAGGGAAAAGAAAUAAGCAAGGGACACCAAACUAUAAAAGAAAAAAGUACAAUCUUCCACAUUUACCUAAACAGCUUAAAUCAUCAAAAUAUUGGGAAGAUGCAGUAGUACUCAAUAGAUCCACCAGAGGGAAAUAACUGCAGCUGCAAAUACAAUACCUCCCUCAUACGUGCAUUUUAAGUUCACUGCAGCAGUGGCUCCACUAGAAUCUGAAGUGCCUGAAGGGCUUUCAGCAAUGGAGCUUUCCUUCUUUUUUGAUUUGUUCGGUGCAGGUGCAGCAGCAGGAGCUGGGGGUCCAAAGAUUUCUAAAGGAAGGAGUACCUGAUCAAGCUUGUACACAGCUAGCUGGCUAUCCGAGUAUACCGUGCUGGCGAUGGAGGUAUUGACAAUUCCUGUUGUUAUGUUCACUGAGUUUCCAAUGGUUGUCACGUUCAAUGGGUACCUACCAUUGUUAACAUCACCCGCCUGUGUUCUUACAGGGUUGCUUAUUGUUUGGAACUGAGAGAUCGAGACGAUGUAAGGCAGUUCAUGGAAUUGGAUUAGCGCAACCUGUUGCUGAUCGGUGAGGGAGUUCAUUGUGCCAGAGGGGAGGCUGGAGAAAGCACUAUCGGUGGGCGCAAAUAUGGUGAUGCCGUUGACGGAGUUGUUCAGCUGGUUGUUUAUUUGGUCGCCAACAUGGGUGCUUUUGAGCAGGCGGAUGAAGGUUCCGAACUCCCCUGCUUUCUCAAGAACGGCUGUGAUGUUGGGUGGGCCUGCUGGAGCUGGAGAUUCUGCCAGCUGAGCUGAAGUUACAACAAUGAAUUGGACAAGAAAGAGGAGGGUAAUGGCACAAGUGAAGUGUUGCAUGGUUUCAGUUGCCUCUUUUCGCUUCAGGAAGAUAGG